Molecule: ribosomal RNA, 465 nt
Filed under: Vreelandella stevensii
Lineage: Bacteria; Pseudomonadati; Pseudomonadota; Gammaproteobacteria; Oceanospirillales; Halomonadaceae
Description: partial 16S ribosomal RNA
Rfam family: Bacterial small subunit ribosomal RNA
Source: RNAcentral
CCUACGGGUGGCUGCAGUGGGGAAUAUUGGACAAUGGGCGAAAGCCUGAUCCAGCCAUGCCGCGUGUGUGAAGAAGGCCUUCGGGUUGUAAAGCACUUUCAGUGGGGAAGAAAGCCUUGGGGCUAAUACCCUCGAGGAAGGACAUCACCCACAGAAGAAGCACCGGCUAACCCCGUGCCAGCAGCCGCGGUAAUACGGAGGGUGCGAGCGUUAAUCGGAAUUACUGGGCGUAAAGCGCGCGUAGGCGGUCUGAUAAGCCGGUUGUGAAAGCCCCGGGCUCAACCUGGGAACGGCAUCCGGAACUGUCAGGCUAGAGUGCAGGAGAGGAAGGUAGAAUUCCCGGUGUAGCGGUGAAAUGCGUAGAGAUCGGGAGGAAUACCAGUGGCGAAGGCGGCCUUCUGGACUGACACUGACGCUGAGGUGCGAAAGCGUGGGUAGCAAACAGGAUUAGCUACCCCAGUAGUC